This is an RNA transcript of Oreochromis niloticus (Nile tilapia), 548 nucleotides long. RefSeq lists it as uncharacterized. The record is from RefSeq and is a predicted model, not a curated record. The transcript is spliced from 3 exons. NCBI's taxonomy places the organism in Eukaryota, Metazoa, Chordata, Actinopteri, Cichliformes, Cichlidae.
UUUCUUCCAGGGCCUCUGGCCCUUGGUUCUUACAAUGGUUUGCCCUCUGAUCAUAUGGAUCUUGCCAGACAGCUGAUGGAGACCUGCUACCAAAUGUAUGUCCAGAUGGAAACAGGCCUCAGUCCUGAGAUUGUCUAUUUUAACAUGCAUCAAGGCAGCACCAGAGACAUUGAUGUGAAGAUAGACACAAACUUCUGCGACCGGAGACUGUAGAGAGUCUCUUCUACCUAUACAGGUUCACAAAGGACCACAAGUACCAGGAUUGGGGCUGGGAGAUUCUCCAAAACUUUAACAGAUACUCCAAGGUUUCCUCAGGUGGCUACACCUCCAUCAACAAUGUGCGCGACCCGGACUACCCGAACCCUCGAGACAAGAUGGACAGCUUCUUCCUGGGGGAGACCCUGAAAUAUUUCUAUCUGCUUUUCUCAGAUGACCCCAACUUCAUCAGCCUGGACCAGUUUGUCUUCAACACAGAGGCACACCCCCUACCUAUAUGGCCUUCCGCUGUGUGACACAAAUGCAAACAGUGCAAACUUCUCAGGGCUGGA